Molecule: ribosomal RNA, 460 nt
Filed under: uncultured bacterium
Lineage: Bacteria
Description: partial 16S ribosomal RNA
Rfam family: Bacterial small subunit ribosomal RNA
Source: RNAcentral
CCUACGGGAGGCUGCAGUGAGGAAUAUUGGUCAAUGGGCGCGAGCCUGAACCAGCCAAGUAGCGUGAAGGAUGACUGCCCUACGGGUUGUAAACUUCUUUUAUAAAGGAGUAAAGUGAGGCACGUGUGCCUUUUUGUAUGUACUUUAUGAAUAAGGAUCGGCUAACUCCGUGCCAGCAGCCGCGGUAAUACGGAGGAUCCGAGCGUUAUCCGGAUUUAUUGGGUUUAAAGGGAGCGGAGAUGGGUUGUUAAGUCAGUUGUGAAAGUGUGCGGCUCAACCGUACAAUUGCAAUUGAUACUGGCAGCCUUGAGUACAGUCGAGGUAGGCGGAAUUCGUGGUGUAGCGGUGAAAUGCGUAGAUAUAACGAAGAACGCCGAUGGCGAAGGCAGCUUACUAAACUGCCACUGACAUUGAUGCUCGAAAGUGUGGGGAGCAAACAGGAUUAGAUACCCUUGUAGUC